GGGUUGUGAGGUUAAGCGACUAAGCGUACACGGUGGAUGCCCUGGCAGUCAGAGGCGAUGAAGGACGUGCUAAUCUGCGAAAAGCGUCGGUAAGGUGAUAUGAACCGUUAUAACCGGCGAUGUCCGAAUGGGGAAACCCAGUGCAAUUCGUUGCACUAUCGUUAACUGAAUACAUAGGUUAACGAGGCGAACCGGGGGAACUGAAACAUCUAAGUACCCCGAGGAAAAGAAAUCAACCGAGAUUCCCCCAGUAGCGGCGAGCGAACGGGGAGCAGCCCAGAGUCUGAAUCAGCUUGUGUGUUAGUGGAACGGUCUGGAAAGUCCGACGGUACAGGGUGAUAGUCCCGUACACCAAAAUGCACAGGUUGUGAACUCGAAGAGUAGGGCGGGACACGUGGUAUCCUGUCUGAAUAUGGGGGGACCAUCCUCCAAGGCUAAAUACUCCUGACUGACCGAUAGUGAACCAGUACCGUGAGGGAAAGGCGAAAAGAACCCCGGCGAGGGGAGUGAAAAAGAACCUGAAACCGUGUACGUACAAGCAGUGGGAGCACCUUCGGGUGUGACUGCGUACCUUUUGUAUAAUGGGUCAGCGACUUAUAUUCUGUAGCAAGGUUAACCGUAUAGGGGAGCCGCAGGGAAACCGAGUCUUAACUGGGCGUUAAGUUGCAGGGUAUAGACCCGAAACCCGGUGAUCUAGCCAUGGGCAGGUUGAAGGUUGGGUAACACUAACUGGAGGACCGAACCGACUAAUGUUGAAAAAUUAGCGGAUGACUUGUGGCUGGGGGUGAAAGGCCAAUCAAACCGGGAGAUAGCUGGUUCUCCCCGAAAGCUAUUUAGGUAGCGCCUCGUGAAUUCAUCUUCGGGGGUAGAGCACUGUUUCGGCUAGGGGGUCAUCCCGACUUACCAACCCGAUGCAAACUACGAAUACCGAAGAAUGUUAUCACGGGAGACACACGGCGGGUGCUAACGUCCGUCGUGAAGAGGGAAACAACCCAGACCGCCAGCUAAGGUCCCAAAGUCAUGGUUAAGUGGGAAACGAUGUGGGAAGGCACAGACAGCCAGGAUGUUGGCUUAGAAGCAGCCAUCAUUUAAAGAAAGCGUAAUAGCUCACUGGUCGAGUCGGCCUGCGCGGAAGAUGUAACGGGGCUAAACCAUGCACCGAAGCUGCGGCAGCGACACUAUGUGUUGUUGGGUAGGGGAGCGUUCUGUAAGCCUGCGAAGGUGUGCUGUGAGGCAUGCUGGAGGUAUCAGAAGUGCGAAUGCUGACAUAAGUAACGAUAAAGCGGGUGAAAAGCCCGCUCGCCGGAAGACCAAGGGUUCCUGUCCAACGUUAAUCGGGGCAGGGUGAGUCGACCCCUAAGGCGAGGCCGAAAGGCGUAGUCGAUGGGAAACAGGUUAAUAUUCCUGUACUUGGUGUUACUGCGAAGGGGGGACGGAGAAGGCUAUGUUAGCCGGGCGACGGUUGUCCCGGUUUAAGCAUGUAGGCUGGUUAUCCAGGCAAAUCCGGAUAAUCAAGGCUGAGGUGUGAUGACGAGGCACUACGGUGCUGAAGUAACAAAUGCCCUGCUUCCAGGAAAAGCCUCUAAGCAUCAGGUAACAUCAAAUCGUACCCCAAACCGACACAGGUGGUCAGGUAGAGAAUACCAAGGCGCUUGAGAGAACUCGGGUGAAGGAACUAGGCAAAAUGGUGCCGUAACUUCGGGAGAAGGCACGCUGGUGUGUAGGUGAAG
This 1730-nucleotide ribosomal RNA is filed under the name Klebsiella pneumoniae. Its description in RNAcentral is "partial 23S ribosomal RNA". It matches the Rfam family "Bacterial large subunit ribosomal RNA", at positions 1 to 1767 of the family's 2925-position model. Lineage: Bacteria; Pseudomonadati; Pseudomonadota; Gammaproteobacteria; Enterobacterales; Enterobacteriaceae. The record is from RNAcentral.